UGACUGAACUUGUGUUUCGUCACCUCCCUCCGGGGAGAAGGAAGCGGUUUUUGUGGAUGUUCUUUGUCCGCUUCUCAAAACGCCCUCCAAGCCACUCCGGUGAUGAGGAGAGGAAACAAAAACUUGUC
This 128-nucleotide telomerase RNA is filed under the name Aspergillus glaucus CBS 516.65. RNAcentral describes it as "Ascomycota telomerase RNA". It matches the Rfam family "Ascomycota telomerase RNA", at positions 1195 to 1381 of the family's 1858-position model. The record is from Rfam by way of RNAcentral. Lineage: Eukaryota; Fungi; Ascomycota; Eurotiomycetes; Eurotiales; Aspergillaceae.